UUAUGAGCAGCUGCAGAACGAGACCCGGCAGACACCAGAGUAUCAGAAUGAGAGUUCUCGGAAUGCACAAUUUCUGGACAUGGUGGCCAACGAGACAGGGCUUACAGACCUGACACUGGAGACCGUCUGGAAUGUCUAUGACACACUCUUCUGUGAGGUGAGCCCACUAGGGUGCCCACUGUGAUCAUUCUUUUCCCUCUCAGCAGGCCCAGGUCACCAGGACGGUAGAACACAGUGCCUGAUACCGUCACGCCCCUGGGGAGGUCCAGGGAGGCUGUGCUUGUGAAACACGGG
RNAcentral lists this long non-coding RNA (294 nucleotides) under Pan troglodytes (chimpanzee). RNAcentral's name for it is "long non-coding RNA NONPTRT003052". Lineage: Eukaryota; Metazoa; Chordata; Mammalia; Primates; Hominidae. The record is from RNAcentral.